AACGAACGCUGGCGGCAUGCCUAACACAUGCAAGUCGAACGAUGCCUUCGGGCAUAGUGGCGCACGGGUGCGUAACGCGUGGGAAUCUGCCCUUGGGUUCGGAAUAACUCAGAGAAAUUUGAGCUAAUACCGGAUGAUGACGUAAGUCCAAAGAUUUAUCGCCCAAGGAUGAGCCCGCGUAGGAUUAGCUAGUUGGUGGGGUAAAGCCUACAAGGCGACGAUCUUUAGCUGGUCUGAGAGGAUGAUCAGCCACACUGGGACUGAGACACGGCCCAGACUCCUACGGGAGGCAGCAGUGGGGAAUAUUGGACAAUGGGCGAAAGCCUGAUCCAGCAAUGCCGCGUGAGUGAUGAAGGCCUUAGGGUUGUAAAGGCUCUUUUACCAGGGUAUGAUAAUGACAGUACCUGGAGAAUAAG
Molecule: ribosomal RNA, 416 nt
Filed under: uncultured bacterium
Lineage: Bacteria
Description: bacterial SSU rRNA
Rfam family: Bacterial small subunit ribosomal RNA
Source: RNAcentral